Molecule: ribosomal RNA, 1372 nt
Filed under: uncultured bacterium
Lineage: Bacteria
Description: bacterial SSU rRNA
Rfam family: Bacterial small subunit ribosomal RNA
Source: RNAcentral
GAUGAACGCUGGCGGCGUGCCUAAUACAUGCAAGUCGAGCGAACGGACGAGAAGCUUGCUUCUCUGAUGUUAGCGGCGGACGGGUGAGUAACACGUGGAUAACCUACCUAUAAGACUGGGAUAACUUCGGGAAACCGGAGCUAAUACCGGAUAAUAUUUUGAACCGCAUGGUUCAAAAGUGAAAGACGGUCUUGCUGUCACUUAUAGAUGGAUCCGCGCUGCAUUAGCUAGUUGGUAAGGUAACGGCUUACCAAGGCAACGAUGCAUAGCCGACCUGAGAGGGUGAUCGGCCACACUGGAACUGAGACACGGUCCAGACUCCUACGGGAGGCAGCAGUAGGGAAUCUUCCGCAAUGGGCGAAAGCCUGACGGAGCAACGCCGCGUGAGUGAUGAAGGUCUUCGGAUCGUAAAACUCUGUUAUUAGGGAAGAACAUAUGUGUAAGUAACUGUGCACAUCUUGACGGUACCUAAUCAGAAAGCCACGGCUAACUACGUGCCAGCAGCCGCGGUAAUACGUAGGUGGCAAGCGUUAUCCGGAAUUAUUGGGCGUAAAGCGCGCGUAGGCGGUUUUUUAAGUCUGAUGUGAAAGCCCACGGCUCAACCGUGGAGGGUCAUUGGAAACUGGAAAACUUGAGUGCAGAAGAGGAAAGUGGAAUUCCAUGUGUAGCGGUGAAAUGCGCAGAGAUAUGGAGGAACACCAGUGGCGAAGGCGACUUUCUGGUCUGUAACUGACGCUGAUGUGCGAAAGCGUGGGGAUCAAACAGGAUUAGAUACCCUGGUAGUCCACGCCGUAAACGAUGAGUGCUAAGUGUUAGGGGGUUUCCGCCCCUUAGUGCUGCAGCUAACGCAUUAAGCACUCCGCCUGGGGAGUACGACCGCAAGGUUGAAACUCAAAGGAAUUGACGGGGACCCGCACAAGCGGUGGAGCAUGUGGUUUAAUUCGAAGCAACGCGAAGAACCUUACCAAAUCUUGACAUCCUUUGACAACUCUAGAGAUAGAGCUUUCCCCUUCGGGGGACAAAGUGACAGGUGGUACAUGGUUGUCGUCAGCUCGUGUCGUGAGAUGUUGGGUUAAGUCCCGCAACGAGCGCAACCCUUAAGCUUAGUUGCCAUCAUUAAGUUGGGCACUCUAAGUUGACUGCCGGUGACAAACCGGAGGAAGGUGGGGAUGACGUCAAAUCAUCAUGCCCCUUAUGAUUUGGGCUACACACGUGCUACAAUGGACAAUACAAAGGGCAGCGAAACCGCGAGGUCAAGCAAAUCCCAUAAAGUUGUUCUCAGUUCGGAUUGUAGUCUGCAACUCGACUACAUGAAGCUGGAAUCGCUAGUAAUCGUAGAUCAGCAUGCUACGGUGAAUACGUUCCCGGGUCU